Molecule: ribosomal RNA, 29 nt
Filed under: Albinaria nivea
Lineage: Eukaryota; Metazoa; Mollusca; Gastropoda; Stylommatophora; Clausiliidae
Also listed under: 2 other names
Description: partial 5.8S ribosomal RNA
Source: RNAcentral
UGAAUCGGUGGAUUAUAACUUUGAGCGGU